UGAAAACACACACAGCACAGUUUGUAUUCA
RNAcentral lists this non-coding RNA (30 nucleotides) under Mus musculus (house mouse). Lineage: Eukaryota; Metazoa; Chordata; Mammalia; Rodentia; Muridae. The record is from RNAcentral.